GUCUAGCUCCAUAUACACUACAAACAAUAACUGGUGGUCAUACAAAUGAGUGUUUGGAAUAAUCCUGAGCAAAGAAAACUAGGUUUUCAGUAGCCCACUGAAAGCUGUGAGCUCAUUUAUUUGUGGGAAAAGUAAAUGAGCAAAUGUAAUCAUUUUAUCCAGUUGUUUUCACAGGUCAGAAGCUGAGGCAGAUGCUAUUUUAUUCCCCCUGUGCUGACAAGUUGCAUGUUCAGUGACUAAAAUAAACCCCAAGUAGAAGUCAAUUGCCCGAAUAUAGCCUGUUGUCAAUGCUCUGCUGUAUUCACGACAUCUGUGACUCAGAGGAGCUCAGCAAUGGGACAGGAGGCAACGGCCACAAGCUGGAACAAGAGAAAUUCUGGUUGCGUGCAUGGGAAAAAAUGGUUUUGCCAUGCAAAUGGUCAAGUGCUGGACCAAGUUCGCCAGAGACAAUGUGGAAUCUCCAUCCUUGGAGAUACUCAACACUAUUCAAGGCCCUAAGCUGUGUACUAGAUGAUCCUGCUUUGAGGGUUGGACUGAGAUCUAUGGAUGUCCAUUACAACCUGAAUUAUUUUAUUUUUCUGUGAUUCUGUGGCCUAUGGAGUCCUCACACGUUUUGAAGAGUUGGCUAAAGGCCAGGCAGGGCACCUCAAGGGUAUCUGGAAUGCCUGUACAUUUCCCUGGGGAGAUUCAGUUGCAACAUAUUUUGCUGGAGUCUCUGCCCCUCCAUGAGCUGGAAAAGAAAAAAUGUUCCUUGCCAGCACUGCUGAUUUGCCCAUCUUUAUUCCCAGUCAAGCUACUCCGUGUUUCCAGAUUUGCCUUUCAGAGAAAACGCAGUCAUUGAGUUUACUGUCUAAGCCUUGGAUCUGUGACCCAUAUUUUGGGGAAGUCAGGGGAGUGGCCCUCCCUCUCCUCCUUCCCUUUUGUAACAUCCCCGCAGCACAAGAGUAAAUGCAGUGCAAAUCCCUGUGCUCCAAAACCUCAGCCCUGUGUUCCAGAACAGCACAGCUUGAUGUAGUUAGCUACAUGCUGAAAGAGUGUAGCAGAAGCCAGGAAAGCUGGUUUGGAAUCACACAGCCUUCUCAGUGGCAUCCAUUCUUCAAACAAAUCCAUGACAGAAGUGCCAAAAUCUGCAGGCUCGCACCUUGGAAUGCCACAGGGGAAACCACCAGCGAGCAACAGGGAGAGAUUUCCCUUCGUUCUGAUGUGACACAUAUGUUAACUUUCAGUUUUAAUCCUUUUUGUCAUUGAUAUGGAUGACCACCAAAAAAAAAUAAGGUGGCUUUCUAGAGCGCCAGUACCACAGGAAUGUAUCUAUCUCUAUUGGAGAUUCGCAGAAAAUCCAGCAAGUAUCAGGAAAGAAGGCAAAACCUAAACACAUGGUGAUCAGCUUCCUCAAUGUACUGUCUGUAACUGCCCUAGAGAAGUUCUGGUGGGAACAGAAGCCUGAGAAAACAGAACUCCGCAGGCUCUGUUUGGGUUCUUACAGGGAAAGGAUCCUGUUAUUCCUCUUAUCCAGCAAGUGAGCUCCUUCCUUGCUCUCUGUCCCUCCAGCAAUGAAGGUGAUGAGUCCUGGUCCGGUGGCAGCUGCUGCCAUGCCCCAUCGCCCCCACCCCUCCUUGCCCUCACACUGCCACCACACUUUUUGACAUGGUUUGGGACAGCCAGUCUCUAUAUUCUCAUACUCAGGAAAUCAGCAACCUGAAAAUGAGAUCAGACAGUGAGAUUUUGCCCAAGCAAUUGUGUUUCUUGACUCAACUUUGGCCACUGGUCUUGGAGGUACCAUACAGGAUAGCCAGAUACCACAAUGGGGCAAACCCACGCUUGUGGCUUCAAUGGGUCAUAGAAUCACAGAAUCAUGGAACCAUUAAGGUUGGAAAAGACCUUGAAGAUCAUCUAGUCCAACUGUCAGCCCACCCCCACCGUGCCCACUGACCAUAUCCCUCAGUGCCACAUCUCCAUGUUUCUUGAACACCUCUAGGGACGGUGACUCCACCACCUCCCUGGGCAGCCUGUGCCAAGGCGUCACCACUCUUUCUGAGAAGAAAUGUUUCCUCGUAUCCAACCUGAACCUCCCCUGGCACAACUUCAGGCCAUUACCUCUCGUCCUAUUGCUGUUACCUGGGAGAAGAGGCUGAUCCCCACCUCACCACAACUUCCUUCCACAGCAGUCACACAAUAACCCAAUCUUCCUCUAAGGUAUGAAGAAAUAAAUGUGAAGGGUUGGGUAAGAUUUGGUACA
Molecule: long non-coding RNA, 2239 nt
Organism: Numida meleagris (helmeted guineafowl)
Lineage: Eukaryota; Metazoa; Chordata; Aves; Galliformes; Numididae
Source: Ensembl